AAUACACGGUGGGUAUGGUUGUCCUGCGAGAGAACGUUCUGUGCUGGUGAUUUGGUCCUGUCAGGUGCUGGUGGGUCCUGAUUCUGUGCUGGUGGCUUUGUUUACAUUGUAUCAUAACGGCAAUAAAACGACUGUUUUGUUGCUUAAUUUUUCUCUGAUGCGUCAUAAGUACCAUGCAAAGUAUAUUACAACAAUACUAUAUUGCAAAAGUCGUGCAAGUUCGUUAAACGGAAUUGUCCUGACGCUGUGCUGGUGAUAAGAAAAACGGUUCUGGUUCUGUGCUCCUAUGUCCUGGUUCUGUGCCUUUAUAUUUU
Molecule: long non-coding RNA, 314 nt
Filed under: Mytilus galloprovincialis (Mediterranean mussel)
Lineage: Eukaryota; Metazoa; Mollusca; Bivalvia; Mytilida; Mytilidae
Source: RNAcentral